RNAcentral lists this ribosomal RNA (134 nucleotides) under uncultured eukaryote. Its description in RNAcentral is "partial small subunit ribosomal RNA". It matches the Rfam family "Eukaryotic small subunit ribosomal RNA", at positions 1651 to 1784 of the family's 1831-position model. The record is from RNAcentral.
CCCUGCCUUUUGUACACACCGCCCGUCGCUCCUACCGAUUGGGUGUGCUGGUGAAGUGUUUGGACUGGUGUCAGUGGGGGGCAACCUCUGUUGGUACUGAGAAGAACAUUAAACCCUCCCACCUAGAGGAAGGA